RNAcentral lists this transfer RNA (74 nucleotides) under Vibrio vulnificus. RNAcentral's name for it is "tRNA-Gln". Lineage: Bacteria; Pseudomonadati; Pseudomonadota; Gammaproteobacteria; Vibrionales; Vibrionaceae. The record is from RNAcentral.
GGUCUAUCGCCAAGCGGUAAGGCAGCGGCUUUUGAUGCCGCCAUUCCCUGGUUCCGAAAUUGGUAGACGCACCA